This 82-nucleotide transfer RNA is filed under the name Hippoglossus stenolepis (Pacific halibut). RNAcentral describes it as "tRNA-Leu". It matches the Rfam family "tRNA". From Rfam's summary of the family: Transfer RNA (tRNA) molecules are approximately 80 nucleotides in length. The record is from RNAcentral. Lineage: Eukaryota; Metazoa; Chordata; Actinopteri; Pleuronectiformes; Pleuronectidae.
GGUAGUGUGGCCGAGUGGUAAAAGGCGCCCGAUUUAGACUCUAGUCUCUUAGGAGGUGUGGGUACAAAUCCCACCACUGCCA